GUGGGGAAUAUUGGACAAUGGGCGAAAGCCUGAUCCAGCCAUGCCGCAUGUGUGAAGAAGGUCUUCGGAUUGUAAAGCACUUUAAGUUGGGAGGAAGGGCAGUAAGUUAAUACCUUGCUGUUUUGACGUUACCGACAGAAUAAGCACCGGCUAACUUCGUGCCAGCAGCCGCGGUAAUACGAAGGGUGCAAGCGUUAAUCGGAAUUACUGGGCGUAAAGCGCGCGUAGGUGGUUUUGUAAGUUGGAGGUGAAAUCCCCGGGCUCAACCUGGGAACUGCCUCCAAAACUGCAUGACUAGAGUACGGUAGAGGGUAGUGGAAUUUCCUGUGUAGCGGUGAAAUGCGUAGAUAUAGGAAGGAACACCAGUGGCGAAGGCGACUACCUGGACUGAUACUGACACUGAGGUGCGAAAGCGUGGGGAGCAAACAGGAUUAGAUACCCGUGUAGUCC
Molecule: ribosomal RNA, 450 nt
Filed under: uncultured bacterium
Lineage: Bacteria
Description: bacterial SSU rRNA
Rfam family: Bacterial small subunit ribosomal RNA
Source: RNAcentral